Long non-coding RNA from Rhipicephalus microplus (southern cattle tick), 379 nucleotides. RefSeq lists it as uncharacterized. NCBI's taxonomy places the organism in Eukaryota, Metazoa, Arthropoda, Arachnida, Ixodida, Ixodidae. The record is from RefSeq and is a predicted model, not a curated record.
UGCAAUGCCAAAAGGAACCUUGCCUGGUUGGGCUCGGUGUUUGUAUAUAUUUAAAAGUAUUUCAAGUUAAACUGGCAUAUAUAGAAUCACAACGAUGAUGCUAGGUUAGUCAUGAACGUCAAAGGAGUUACAGUGCUAAAAACAGUGUCUCGGACUUAAACAGCAAUGAAUGGUGCCGGUGCCGACACGAUGCCCACCAAGGUGAUUUCUUUCGAGCGCAUACACUGCGGCUGUUAGACACUACCCGGAGAUGUAAUGCAGUGGCACACAUUCGACAAGGAAGAACAGCAAGCUUGGAAAGCUUGUUUCGGGGAAGAUUGCCCAUUUGAUGAAAUUAUCUUCUAUUAUACAUAAAUAUAAUACAGGCCUCACUUGGGAU